RNAcentral lists this long non-coding RNA (510 nucleotides) under Equus caballus (horse). Its description in RNAcentral is "lncRNA (ENSECAG00000052597.1)". The record is from RNAcentral. Lineage: Eukaryota; Metazoa; Chordata; Mammalia; Perissodactyla; Equidae.
CUGCUGGCCAAUCUUUAGACAUUGCGUUGGCUGUACUUGAUCAAGAAAAGGUCCCAUUCCUGAUGCUGAGAAGUGGUAACCUGACAGGUGUCAGAGCAUAUUUUUUUUAGGAAACAAACAGAAAUGCUACUGAAGAAAUACAUGCUGAGCUGUGACUUCAGAAAUGAGUUCUAAAUCUUGAGGAUCAUUUCUUCCCCUUAAAUUUAUAUUUUGAAAGAAAAAUCUACAGAAAAGAUUCAAACACUUUCAGCAGGAACACUACAUAGGUGAUACUAUGUGAUUUUUAUCACAUCUCAUCAAGAGGCAUCAAGAGACACAUGAUGUCAGCUCUUCCCACUCUCGGCGAUGUUAAGUAUGAUCACUUGGUUAAGUGGUGUCCACAGAUUUCUCCACUGUAAAGACCUUUUUAUCCCUGUGUAAUUAAUAUAUAAUCUGUGGAGUGAUACAAUGAGGCAUUGUAUUAUGAUGAAUAAUGUAUUCUCCAAAAAUCUUUCACUUCAUACUUUCAGC